This is a long non-coding RNA of Dermacentor albipictus, 1124 nucleotides long. RefSeq lists it as uncharacterized. Lineage: Eukaryota; Metazoa; Arthropoda; Arachnida; Ixodida; Ixodidae. The record is from RefSeq and is a predicted model, not a curated record.
GGCAGCCGCGGAGCGCGUCGCACACGUUUCUAAACUGCUCUUCUGCAAUUCCCAGGUUUUUCGCCACGGACUUACAAGCAAAUUCGGAGCGAACAACGUUUCCGGGACUGAACCACGCUGGUGCCAAACCUCGCCGACAUCGCCCGGACCAGAGGCAUUUCUUCUUUGAAAUUGGCGCGGCAAGAAAUUGGACACUGACGUAUGCAUCCCCUGCUGGCGUGGAUCAACAAUCUUGAUCAUUUCGUGGGGCGUUCCCGUUCACUUGACGGCAGCCGCGGAGCGCGUCGCACACGUUUCUAAACUGCUCUUCUGCAAUUCCCAGGUUUUUCGCCACGGACUUACAAGCAAAUGCGGAGCGAACAACGUUUCCGGGACUGAACCACGCCGGUGCCAAACCUCGCCGACAUCGCCCGGACCAGAGGCCUUUCUUCUUUGAAAUUGGCGCGGCAAGAAAUUGGACACUGACGUAUGCAUCCCCUGCUGGCGUGGAUCAACAAUCUUGAUCAUUUCGUGGGGCGUUCCCGUUCACUUGACGGCAGCCGCGGAGCGCGUCGCACACGUUUCUAAACUGCUCUUCUGCAAUUCCCAGGGCUUUCUUUCAGGAAUACCUAAGGAUGACUUUCUAAGAUAGGAGACUGCCAAGAUGACUGAUUCAGUGGGUGACGUGACACCGCUAUCGAGCAGUUACGCAAUGGUUGAGUCAGAAAAAGAGAGGAAAGAAGACGCAGACCAGACGGGCAGCGAUAACACGUCUUUGUCAACGUUGAGCGCCCAUAAACAAGAAGGAAAUGGAUGAAACACAUCUGUAAUACGAUGGAAGCCACGCCAGCAUGUGUAGAGAAGCCUACCGGUCGGCAUUCGGGCACGUCUGCUUGCCGGGAACACUCAUUCACUGGGUUAAUAAAAACAAGUCGGUGAAUUUACCGUAAUUAUUGAUUUCUUUUUUCUGCCACCACCCGCAUUCCCGAAUUAAUUGAUUUGUCUGACCUGUACAAGCGGCGCGUGCUCAGAGUGGCGUGAUAGCUGUACGUCAUCGCAUGCGAUAUGCUAAACCGUAUGAAGGAAAGCCGCCUGAGCUAUUAGCCCGGAGAACGAACGUGAGCGGCGCUGCGAGCGCCGCUCGC